Long non-coding RNA from Paramisgurnus dabryanus, 1530 nucleotides. RefSeq lists it as uncharacterized. The record is from RefSeq and is a predicted model, not a curated record. Lineage: Eukaryota; Metazoa; Chordata; Actinopteri; Cypriniformes; Cobitidae.
CAUUGCAGAUACUUCAUUCUAGUCUUAACUAGUUCUCUUAACUACAAUAUCUAAUACACAUGGGUUAAUUAAUGUCUUCUGAAGUGGAAUGACAAAUCUUGUUUUUGGCUUAUUUCGCGAUAGUGAAACAGAAACAUGCCUUUCACUCUGUCAUAUUUGGUUAGCUUCAGAGGACAUUAUUAUAAUUAUUAGUAAUAAUGAUGGAUAAGGUUGAACAUGUCAAUGUACAUAAAAUAAUGGCAAAUGUAUAUAAUAUUCUUUUUUUACACACACAAACACUUGUGUUAUACUAUUUAUCAACAGACAAUCAGUUUAUAAAAGUGUCUGCAGCCAAUUAUGGAUGAACAAACGGUGUAACCUGCUCUACUGGAAAACCAGCUGACCAAAUCUCAAAUGUUCAGUGCACUCAGAGUUCAACCCUAAGUGUGCUGACCACUCAAUGUGAUGGAAAACAAGAUUGUUCGGUUCUUGCUAGUAGCACAGUUUUUGGUGAUCCCUGUGAAGGAACCUACAAAUACCUGAAUGUGUCCUACACCUGUGGCCCAGGCCCAAACUCUUUGACCUAGAAGUGAAAACAUGGACACAUCAGAAAUCAUCUCUCUUUCUGUGACCUGAUUUAAUUAGAUUAAAUAAUAAUGUUUUAAACAUUGUGUAAUCAGUGGAUGUUUGUCACAAUUUCCUUGAAUAACACUUUUUUUGUCUUUUGAUUUAUGCUAAAUUUUGGUGUAAGGUUCAUUCUGUCCCCAUGUAACCAACUGUGUCUGUUCAAUUAAUCGCUUUCAAAUGCAAACUCUUCUGUGUUUCUGUAACAUCUGUAAAUGUCUGAGUGUAGAUCUAGUGCAAAUCUUUAUGGGUAACAUCCUGCUAAUUUAUGCGAUUUAGUCCCACCUGUUGUAAUACAAUUUUUAAAUAGACAAUAUUAAUAUAAUGUUAAUCUAAAUGUUUAUAAAGUUUUCCCAUAUAUGUAUCUAAACAUUUAGCUCAAAAUAUCAUUUAGAUCAUUUAUUAUAGCAUGUUAAAAUUGCCACUUUGUAGGUGUGAGCAAAAAUUUGCCAUUUUUGGAUAUGUCCUUUAAAAUGCAAAUGAGCUGAUCUCUGCAAUAAAUGACAGUGCUGUGGUUGGAUAGUGGAGAUUAAGGGGUGCUAUUAUCCCCUUGUGACAUCACAAAGGGAGCUAAAUUUCAAUUACCUAAUUUUUCACAUGUUUGCAGAGAAUGGUUUAACAAAACAAAGUUACUGGGUUGAUCUUUUACGUUUUCUAGGUUGAUAAAAGCACUGGGGGACCCAAUAAUAGCACUUAAACAUGAAAAAGACAGAUUUUUAUGAUUUGUCUCCUUUAAUAAAUAAUGUUUUGUACUUUAAAUAAGAUGGACACCAUCAGUUUAUUGAUCUAUGUAAAAACAUGCUACAACAAAAAUUGACCUUCAUCACUGAAACACGUUAAUUGUCAACAUACAAUUUCUUAGACGUGAUGUUACAGCAGCUUUAAUGUUUAUUUAUAAUGUUAACCAUUUUAACAUAAGAAUGUGAC